GACUACUGGUGUAUCUAAUCCUGUUCGAUACCCACACUUUCGUGCAUGAGCGUCAGUUGAGCGCCGGUAUGCUGCCUUCGCAAUCGGAGUUCUGCGUGAUAUCUAUGCAUUUCACCGCUACACCACGCAUUCCGCAUACUUCUCGCUCACUCAAGAAAACCAGUUUCAACGGCUCGAAGAGGUUGAGCCUCUCAAUUUUACCGCUGACUUGAUCUUCCGCCUGCGCACCCUUUAAACCCAAUAAAUCCGGAUAACGCUCGCAUCCUCCGUAUUACCGCGGCUGCUGGCACGGAGUUAGCCGAUGCUUUUUCGUCGGGUACUCUCGAUAACGCUACACGUAGCGCCAAUUGCUCCCUGACAAAAGAGGUUUACAACCCAGAGGGCAGUCUUCCCUCACGCGACUUGGCUGGUUCAGGCGUAAGCCCAUUGACCAAUAUUCCUCACUGCUGCCACCCGUAGG
Molecule: ribosomal RNA, 460 nt
Filed under: uncultured bacterium
Lineage: Bacteria
Description: partial 16S ribosomal RNA
Source: RNAcentral